GUGCCAGCAGCCGCCGCGGUAAUACGUAGGGUGCGAGCGUUAAUCGGAAUUACUGGGCGUAAAGCGUGCGCAGGCGGUGAUGUAAGACAGUCGUGAAAUCCCCGGGCUCAACCUGGGAAUUGCGAUUGUGACUGCAUCGCUGGAGUGCGGCAGAGGGGGAUGGAAUUCCACGUGUAGCAGUGAAAUGCGUAGAUAUGCGGAGGAACACCGAUGGCGAAGGCAAUCCCCUGGGCUAAAACUGACGCUGAGGUACGAAAGCGUGGGUAGCAAGCAGGAUUAGAUACCCUGGUAGUCCACGCCG
RNAcentral lists this ribosomal RNA (301 nucleotides) under uncultured bacterium. RNAcentral's name for it is "bacterial SSU rRNA". It matches the Rfam family "Bacterial small subunit ribosomal RNA", at positions 505 to 802 of the family's 1533-position model. The record is from RNAcentral.